RNAcentral lists this ribosomal RNA (497 nucleotides) under uncultured bacterium. Its description in RNAcentral is "partial 16S ribosomal RNA". It matches the Rfam family "Bacterial small subunit ribosomal RNA", at positions 29 to 507 of the family's 1533-position model. The record is from RNAcentral.
AGUGAACGCUGGCGGCAGGCCUAACACAUGCAAGUCGAACGACCACACAGUAAGCUUUUGCUCCUACCGGUGGCGACGGGCGGACGGGUAACGAAUGCAUCGGCUUCUUCUUUUUCUUGGGUGACAACGUAAGGCAACUUCCGCUAACACAUCAUAUAUCCUACGGCAUAAUUCAAGAGUUCUUCGCGGCUUUCCUGUCUCUUUUAGCUGAUUCCGCGUCGCAUUAGCUAGUUGGUAAGGUAACGGCUUACCAAGGCAACGAAGCGUAGCUGACCUGAGAGGGUGAUCGGCCACACUGGAACUGAGACACGGUCCAGACUCCUACGGGAGGCAGCAGUAGGGAAUCUUGCACAAUGGGCGCAAGCCUGACGGAGCAACGCCGCGUGAGUGAAGAAGGUCUUCGGAUCGUAAAGCCCUGUUAUUAGGGAAGAACAACUGUAUAUGUAACUAUGCACGUCCUGACGGUACCCAAAGAGAAAGCAACGGCUAACUACGUG